AGGAAAGGCAAGAUAAAAUACUCUCCAACCAACGGGACGAAGUUGAAAAAUGCGGAAACGAAUGCACUGAGGCAGUCCAAGCUGAACCCCAUGAGUAAGUCUGACACUGGGCUGCAUGAGAUGAACCGGCUGCCCUGCAAUGGCAAUGGUGCUCCUAAGAGCCGUCCAGCCAGCAUGGACCUGCUCCUCCUCCACUGCCGGCGCUCCACGUCUGACCUGCAGUCCUCCCCCCAGCCCCGCCAGCUCCCCCAGGUGCCCGACGGAGAGCACGCCUACUCUCAGGUGGGGCUCCGCGUCUCCCCCGCCCC
Molecule: long non-coding RNA, 308 nt
Organism: Clupea harengus (Atlantic herring)
Lineage: Eukaryota; Metazoa; Chordata; Actinopteri; Clupeiformes; Clupeidae
Exons: 3
Source: RefSeq, a predicted model, not a curated record